Molecule: long non-coding RNA, 321 nt
Filed under: Olea europaea (common olive)
Lineage: Eukaryota; Viridiplantae; Streptophyta; Magnoliopsida; Lamiales; Oleaceae
Description: long non-coding RNA (OEUR_LNC002410)
Source: RNAcentral
AAAAGUGAAUGCAAUGAGAAUUUUGGAAAAUGUUGAUCUGCCUGCAUCUUUGGCUGAUUUAUUCGCUAAACCAGAAGAAAUCCUUAUUCACGAAACUAGCGAUGAAGUCAUUCAUGAAACUAGCGAUGAAGUUAUUCACGAAACUAGCGAUGAAGUCAUUCAUGAAACUAGCAAUGAAGUCAUUCAGGAAACUAGCGAUGAAGUUAUUCACGAAAUUAGUGAUGAAGUUGUGCCUGCUCAAGAAGAUGAACUUGAAGGAAAGGACCUGCAGGAGGAGAAAGUUGUAAAACCCGAACAUGCUCCUAUCCCGCCAAAGAUGGU